Molecule: non-coding RNA, 1057 nt
Organism: Pelodiscus sinensis (Chinese soft-shelled turtle)
Lineage: Eukaryota; Metazoa; Chordata; Testudines; Trionychidae
Source: RefSeq, a predicted model, not a curated record
AGACAUCUACCAUGUGCAGGGACAGGCACAGGCCUCAAACAAAAACAAGCUCAGAAGAGUCCAGAUCCAGGGCUUGAGUCAGUCUAUUAUGCAGCUGGUAACUAAACCAAGAGGGGUCUCUUGGCAACGUCUGUGCUAGCUUUUUUCACUGACAAAGACAGAGACCAUGACGGUUCAUGAAAUUUGAUUUCAAACAGUUAUCAAGCUAUACCGGCAGUGAGAUGGACAAGAUACUGCUGUGAGUUUUCCCGGUCUCUAAUUCCUGAGUGAAUCUGAGAAGAAAAACACUUGUGACUCCCAACCAAAGAAGUUUUGUUUUCUUCAGCAGAAAGCUUUGCAAACCUUUUGUUUCCAGUUCUCUCGGACUUCCAGAAUACGGACCAUGGACCACCAGUUGACUGCAGAGGGUGUGUUUGUGUUCUGCCACUCAACCUGUGAGGACGGUGUGUGUGUGAGAGACAGAGCAUUGUCCCAUAUGAUCAGGAAAAGAAAAUGUGGCCCCACGAUUUCUCCUUAGCAUGUGGGAGUACUGAGCACUUUCAAAAAAUGGAUUGCGAUUGCCCUUAGCUAUAUAAAGAGAUUAAUCUUGUGGAGGAAGAAAAGCCCAUGUGUUCUCGUUCUGAAAGGCUGGUAUUCUGACAUGGCGGAAAUGCUGUCAGGGUAGGAUACCCAAAGAAAUUCUAACGGACCAACGGACACCCUUUGUGCCCAAGCUUAUGAAGGACUUGUGUACCAUGCUCUCCAUACGUGCCCUGAGGACAUCAGUUUAUCAACCCCAAACAGACGAUCUUGUUGAGCAGUUUAACAGGACCAUGAAAAAUACCACCUCAAGAAAGUGGUAAGCUGGGACGGCAAAGAUUGGGAUAUUCUGCUUCCAUACCUCAUGUUCGUGGUAAGGGAAGUUCCUCAAGUUUCUAUUGGGGUCUCCCCAUUUGAGCUUUUAUAUGGGCGUAACACACGGGGCAGACUGAACCUUGCCAAGGAGGCCUGAGAGGAACAACCCAACCAUGGAAGAAAUGUUGUUGAUCAUGUACUCCAUAUGACGGACAAAAUAGCC